AUUGAACGCUGGCGGCAUGCCUUACACAUGCAAGUCGAACGGCAGCGGGGGGGAAGCUUGCUUUUCCUGCCGGCGAGUGGCGAACGGGUGAGUAAUACAUCGGAACGUGCCCUGUAGUGGGGGAUAACUAGUCGAAAGAUUAGCUAAUACCGCAUACGACCUGAGGGGGAAAGAGGGGGACCGCAAGGCCCCAUGCUAUAGGAGCGGCCGAUGUCUGAUUAGCGAGUUGGUGGGGUAAAGGCCUACCAAGGCGACGAUCAGUAGCUGGUCUGAGAGGACGAUCAGCCACACUGGGACUGAGACACGGCCCAGACUCCUACGGGAGGCAGCAGUGGGGAAUUUUGGACAAUGGGCGAAAGCCUGAUCCAGCAAUGCCGCGUGUGUGAAGAAGGCCUUCGGGUUGUAAAGCACUUUUGUCCGGAAAGAAAUGGCUCUGGUUAAUACCUGGGGUCGAUGACGGUACCGGAAGAAUAAGGACCGGCUAACUACGUGCCAGCAGCCGCCGUAA
This 508-nucleotide ribosomal RNA is filed under the name uncultured bacterium. RNAcentral describes it as "partial 16S ribosomal RNA". It matches the Rfam family "Bacterial small subunit ribosomal RNA", at positions 29 to 523 of the family's 1533-position model. The record is from RNAcentral.